CGGGCAUGGGGACAGCUGCCAGGGGACGAGGUGGGGGCAGGCCAAGGAUGGAUGACCACUCUGGCCCCACUUGCCCAACUCAGCAGAAACCAGGGUCAGCAGUAAUGGGCUGGCGGCCCCCAGCUGCAACCAGCUUCAUUUUCUGCCACAAUUAAAUGAUCGCCUGCAUCUGCUCACGCUCACUCAUUCAAUUACCUUCGUGGCCCUGAAGGACUCAGAGAGAAACAGCCAUAAAUAACACGCGUCAGCCGCCCCCCCGGGCUGUCAUCGCUGCCCAUCGCUCCCACGGGCCUGGCCCGGCCCUUCCUGCAGGCCCCUGACCAUCGUCUUGUGCAUCCCAGCUCCCCGAGGAAAUCCUCCCAGCGCCCACACCCGGCCGUCUGAGAGUCAGUCCCUGGCCUGAGAGUCAGCAGAUCUGGGUCCCCACCCAGUUCUGCCCACCUAGCUGUGGGCCUCUGGUUCCUCAUCUGUGAAAUGACAGAAAAAGUCUGCGUGAGCUGCAAAGUGCUGCCCUUGCAAGAGGCUGUGGUCCUGGCUGCACAGUCAAAAUGUGGGCACCCAGGAAGGGAGGUGAGGCAACUGAGGCUCAGCGAGGUUAAGAUACAUGUCCAAGUUCACAUCUGCAGGAGAGGGCAGGGCUGGGACUCCAGUGCGGGCCUGUCACACCCACAGCCCUGCUCUUCGCCAGCCUCCACCCCCAGCAGCACGAACUGGCAGUCACAGGACUUGGGUUCAAGUCCGGCUCCUGCACUGGCUGCUGUGUGACUCUGGGCAGGUCCUUCCCUCUCUUGGCAGCCUCGCUUUGUCUCUCCUCCCCUCGAAAAUGAAAAGACUGUGACGGUGGCCUCCGAGGGCCUGUUGUGAGGAUGGGAAUGUCCGUCCCUGCUGAAUGACGGUGGCCAUCGUGGCCCCCCCCCGACACUGCACCUGGCCGGCUCCUGCCUGCUUCCAGAACAGGCUGAUGACAUCCCUGCAGCUCCCUGGUCAAGGGAGUCCAGGUGACUCACAGAGGGUUUACCGCCUGCCCCCUCUGUGCACGGUGUCCUCAGAUUCCGGGUUCCCUGGGGUGGAGGGAGGCCAGGAGGGGCAAGUGUCUCCCCUGGCCUUGGGCCCCUCCUCCCCCAGGGGUCUUAGCUCACCAGCCAUUUGGGACCCCACAGCAGCCAG
Molecule: long non-coding RNA, 1167 nt
Filed under: Equus asinus (donkey)
Lineage: Eukaryota; Metazoa; Chordata; Mammalia; Perissodactyla; Equidae
Description: lncRNA (ENSEASG00005026549.1)
Source: RNAcentral